RNAcentral lists this ribosomal RNA (569 nucleotides) under uncultured bacterium. RNAcentral's name for it is "partial 16S ribosomal RNA". It matches the Rfam family "Bacterial small subunit ribosomal RNA", at positions 355 to 914 of the family's 1533-position model. The record is from RNAcentral.
UGGGGAAUAUUGGACAAUGGGCGCAAGCCUGAUCCAGCCAUGCCGCGUGGGUGAAGAAGGCCUUCGGGUUGUAAAGCCCUUUUGUUGGGAAAGAAAAGCAGUCGGUUAAUACCCGAUUGUUCUGACGGUACCCAAAGAAUAAGCACCGGCUAACUUCGUGCCAGCAGCCGCGGUAAUACGAAGGGUGCAAGCGUUACUCGGAAUUACUGGGCGUAAAGCGUGCGUAGGUGGUUUGUUAAGUCUGAUGUGAAAGCCCUGGGCUCAACCUGGGAAUUGCAUUGGAUACUGGCAGGCUGGAGUGCGGUAGAGGGUAGUGGAAUUCCCGGUGUAGCAGUGAAAUGCGUAGAGAUCGGGAGGAACAUCCGUGGCGAAGGCGACUACCUGGACCAGCACUGACACUGAGGCACGAAAGCGUGGGGGAGCAAACAGGAUUAGAUACCCUGGUAGUCCACGCCCUAAACGAUGCGAACUGGAUGUUGGGUUCAAUUAGGAACUCAGUAUCGAAGCUAACGCGUUAAGUUCGCCGCCUGGGGAGUACGGUCGCAAGACUGAAACUCAAAGGAAUUGAC